Molecule: long non-coding RNA, 1148 nt
Organism: Zea mays
Lineage: Eukaryota; Viridiplantae; Streptophyta; Magnoliopsida; Poales; Poaceae
Exons: 2
Source: RefSeq, marked validated
CAAAAUAUCUCUCCCCUGGCGGCGCGGCGGUGGAGGCAUCUCCAGCUUGCUCGACCCUGGCUGCCGCUGCUUGUAGGCUGCGCAUCCGGCACGUGUUACUCCUCCGUGGUUCUUCAAGAUCCAGAAGGCUCACCUGGGCUUCGUCACCACCGUUUAGGCCCACCUGCACUCAUCCUCUGCUCCAAGAUCCAGAAGGAACUCUGCGAGGGCCUCUUUCGACGGCAGGCGUAGAAGAUCCCGGUGGCUCUGGUUUCAUAUUUGCUCGGUCCUGAGGAGAGGUCUGCACUGUUUAUCAGGAAAACUUGAGCUUCUGUUUGGAUCUAUGUGUCAGGUGCCGUUUCAAGAUCUCAACCCAGCCAGUGGUUUAGUGAAGUUCGAAACAAAUAGAAUGUGUAGAUGUAGAUAAGGUGGCUAAAGUUGUCCAAACAUAAAAACACCCGAUUCGGAAGUCUUAGCGAAGUAUAUAGUACGCUACUGCGUGGGGGGGAUGUGGACAUGUGGUGGUUGCUUUGCUUCACCUUGACGGCUUGACCCAUGAGCCAUGAUCAAUUCAGCAAAGAAACACGGUUUCCGUUAUGCGAAAAGGCGGGAGGGGGAAGUCGACCCAUCUGCGGAAGCACGUACCUAAAAUCCAGAAGCCCGCCGCACGCUCUCCGGUUCCUUGCUCCCUUUACGUACGUCGUUUCAGAGCAGGCUCUCAACCUUCAUCCCGAAGGUUUGCAAUGGAGAGGAGAGGAGAGGUGGGAGAGAGGAAGAGAAACAUUUGCAAUGAAGAGGAGACAAGAGAUGUCAGAGAGAGGACCAAGGGACAUACCCAGCGGCCUUGCCGGGGCGGGCCCAGGGCUGAAGUUAUUGCUUCACGGAUCGUCCUGCGCUGAAUCAGUUACAGUGCACUACUAUUCUCUACAGAAACAAUCCCCACGGACUAGGACGGUCUCCAACAACGUUUUCUAUGUUUAUCCCUACUUUACAUUCUUCUAUAAAAGAUUUUUCAUCCUCUAUAUCUCCUUUCUCUCCAACAACGUCAUAAAUCACAUACUCUAUAAGCAAAUACUUAUAUUAGAGACAUUUUUUUACAUACGUAUUUGUCAUAUUCUCAAAUGUAUUAUACAUAUUUUAGUUUUGUUAAACCAGUUGUUUAAAGUAUU